ACGAGGAAAAAGACAUCACAAAUGAACAAUAAAAAUGUGAGUUUUAAUUUAUACCAUAUUGAAAUAGAAAAAUAAAAAAUAAAUAACAAGAAUCAUCCCACUUUGGUAGAGUCCAGAUAAAAACAAGCAUUAAAAGCUAAUCAAACAAACGACAACUGUCUAAACAGAAUUCCAUUAGAAUGGAACAAAAUGUAGGCCAAGU
This is a long non-coding RNA of Juglans microcarpa x Juglans regia, 202 nucleotides long. RefSeq lists it as uncharacterized. The record is from RefSeq and is a predicted model, not a curated record. NCBI's taxonomy places the organism in Eukaryota, Viridiplantae, Streptophyta, Magnoliopsida, Fagales, Juglandaceae. The transcript is spliced from 3 exons.